UGUCAAGGGAUGGGAAUCGAACCCAUGACCUUCCGCAUACCGGGCAGAUGCCAUGACCACUAGGCUACCCUGGAC
Molecule: transfer RNA, 75 nt
Filed under: Cordylochernes scorpioides
Lineage: Eukaryota; Metazoa; Arthropoda; Arachnida; Pseudoscorpiones; Chernetidae
Description: tRNA-Thr
Source: RNAcentral